UAUAAAAUCUUAUUCAUGCGCUAGAAAAUAAAAAUUUCAAGCAUUACUCAACAGUUAAAAGGUAAUUAAGUGUUUAAAAAAUUAUCGUUUAAGGUUUAUGCACAUUCACCAUCUAAUCUGAACAAUGAUUGUAACUGCUUUUUUUCUGUCAUAUUUACAGCAAUGAUUGACAGCAUUGGUGGGGCUGUCAAAGUUAACAAUUUCCUUGCCACUCUUGAUCUUAAGCUGAUAAGCCUAGAAAAUCUUAAGGAAAUUAAGAGAGGGCCGGUGAAGUGAUAGAAGCUGUCUGAGCAAAAUCACAGAAACGGUCAGCUGAAGAGGCUUACAAAUAAAGAAAUGGAGUAUUGGUCAUACAGCAGACCCCAGAUAUACAGACCUUACCAGAUGCAGUUUCUAAGGGAAAGUUCAAGCCAGUAAUGACAGAAAAUCCUACAUUUAUAACAUUAGAUUUGGAAACUACAGAUCUAAUUCGAGGUUCACAGAUGCCACAUAUAACACAGAUUGCAGCUAAAGAAAUAAAGACUGCUGCUUCAUUUUAUCAGAAUGUAAUUCCUCCAAUGACAAUAGCAGUAGAACCUCAACGACAAACUGGCAUAAAAGUCACAGAUGAUGGUUAUAUGACUGUACAUAGUGAACAUGUUAAUAAUUUAAAUGUACAUGAAUCUUUACAUCAUAAAAUAAAUAAAUACAAGGGAUGAUCUUGGAUUUGCAUGUAAGAUCAAAAUGUAUUUCAUAAAGUUAACGUCAGAUGCAACAUUUUUAUUAGUCGCAUAGCCAUGAGUUUUAGUAUAAAAGCUAAUGCUAAUAAGUAGAAUACACA
This is a long non-coding RNA of Ruditapes philippinarum (Manila clam), 820 nucleotides long. RefSeq lists it as uncharacterized. The transcript is spliced from 3 exons. The record is from RefSeq and is a predicted model, not a curated record. Lineage: Eukaryota; Metazoa; Mollusca; Bivalvia; Venerida; Veneridae.